Molecule: ribosomal RNA, 926 nt
Filed under: uncultured Actinomycetes bacterium
Lineage: Bacteria; Bacillati; Actinomycetota; Actinomycetes
Description: bacterial SSU rRNA
Rfam family: Bacterial small subunit ribosomal RNA
Source: RNAcentral
AGAGUUUGAUUAUGGCUCAGGACGAACGCUGGCGGCGUGCUUUAGGCAUGCAAGUCGAACGCGAAAGCCCCUUCGGGGGUGAGUAGAGUGGCGAACGGGUGAGUAACACGUGGGUAACCUGCCCCUCGCAGGGGGAUAACCGGGGGAAACCCCGGCUAAUACCCCGUACGCUUGCUGGGGCGCAUGCUCCGGCAAGGAAAGGUAGCUUCGGCCAUCCGGCGAGGGAGGGGCCCGCGGCCCAUUAGCUAGUUGGUGGGGUAACGGCCCACCAAGGCGACGAUGGGUAGCUGGCCUGAGAGGGUGGUCAGCCACACUGGGACUGAGACACGGCCCAGACUCCUACGGGAGGCAGCAGCCAGGAAUCUUGCGCAAUGGGCGAAAGCCUGACGCAGCAACGCCGCGUGGGCGAUGAAGGCCUUCGGGUCGUAAAGCCCUGUUGUCGGGGACGAAGGGCGAAGGGUUAAUAGCCCCUAGCCUGACGGUACCCGACGAGGAAGCCCCGGCUAACUACGUGCCAGCAGCCGCGGUAAUACGUAGGGGGCGAGCGUUGUCCGGAAUCAUUGGGCGUAAAGAGCGUGUAGGCGGCCCGGUAAGUCCGCUGUGAAAACCCGGGGCUCGACCCCGGGCGUGCAGUGGAAACUGCCGGGCUAGAGGGCGGCAGAGGCGAGUGGAAUUCCCGGUGUAGCGGUGAAAUGCGCAGAUAUCGGGAGGAACACCGGUAGCGAAGGCGGCUCGCUGGGCCGUUCCUGACGCUGAGACGCGAAAGCUAGGGGAGCGAACAGGAUUAGAUACCCUGGUAGUCCUAGCCGUAAACGAUGGGCACUAGGUGUGGGGGGAGUCGAAUCCCUCCGUGCCGCAGCCAACGCGUUAAGUGCCCCGCCUGGGGAGUACGGCCGCAAGGCUAAAACUCAAAUGAAUUGACGGGA